Molecule: ribosomal RNA, 421 nt
Filed under: uncultured Nibribacter sp.
Lineage: Bacteria; Pseudomonadati; Bacteroidota; Cytophagia; Cytophagales; Hymenobacteraceae
Description: bacterial SSU rRNA
Rfam family: Bacterial small subunit ribosomal RNA
Source: RNAcentral
AGUAGGGAAUAUUGGGCAAUGGGCGGAAGCCUGACCCAGCCAUGCCGCGUGCAGGAUGAAGGCCUUCUGGGUUGUAAACUGCUUUUACCAGGGAAGAAAAGACCCAUGCGUGGGGCACUGACGGUACCUGGGGAAUAAGCACCGGCUAACUCCGUGCCAGCAGCCGCGGUAAUACGGAGGGUGCAAGCGUUGUCCGGAUUUAUUGGGUUUAAAGGGUGCGUAGGCGGCCCCUUAAGUCAGUGGUGAAAGCCCGCGGCUCAACCGCGGAACUGCCAUUGAUACUGGGGGGCUUGAGUACAGACGAGGUAGGCGGAAUUGAAGAUGUAGCGGUGAAAUGCUUAGAUAUCUUCAAGAACCCCGAUUGCGUAGGCAGCUUACUAGGCUGUAACUGACGCUGAGGCACGAAAGCGUGGGGAGCGAA